RNAcentral lists this non-coding RNA (22 nucleotides) under Rattus norvegicus (Norway rat). The record is from RNAcentral. Lineage: Eukaryota; Metazoa; Chordata; Mammalia; Rodentia; Muridae.
UAGUUCAUGAACGGAUCUGUGU